GGCGGUGAGGGAAGGCUGGGGAGGCGCGCCUGCGAGGUGGGGAGGGCUGGGUGACGGUGGCGCGGCGUGGGGAGGAGGGAUGAGAGAGAAAACGGGAGAGAAAGAAAGAAGGGUCGGGACGCGCAGGGAAGAGAAGAAAAGAAGGAGGGAGGCCAGUCCGAUUCGACCGGUCCAGUUCGAUUUGAUUGGUUCGAUUCAGGAUACAAAAUU
This 210-nucleotide unclassified non-coding RNA is filed under the name Hevea brasiliensis (rubber tree). The record is from RNAcentral. Lineage: Eukaryota; Viridiplantae; Streptophyta; Magnoliopsida; Malpighiales; Euphorbiaceae.